GCCCAUGUGGCUCAGGGGUGGAGCAUCAAUCUACGAACCAGGAGGUCAGGGUUCAAUUCCCUGGUCAGGGCA
This is a non-coding RNA of Myotis davidii, 72 nucleotides long. The record is from Rfam. NCBI's taxonomy places the organism in Eukaryota, Metazoa, Chordata, Mammalia, Chiroptera, Vespertilionidae.